Molecule: ribosomal RNA, 254 nt
Filed under: uncultured bacterium
Lineage: Bacteria
Description: partial 16S ribosomal RNA
Rfam family: Bacterial small subunit ribosomal RNA
Source: RNAcentral
UACGUAGGAUGCAAGCGUUGUCCGGAAUUACUGGGCGUAAAGGGCGAGCAGGUGGCAUUACAAGUCUGAUGUGAAAUCUCCCGGCUUAACUGGGAGGGUGCGCCGAAUACUGAAUGACUUGGAGUGCGGGAGAGGAAAGUGGAGUUCCUGGUGUAGCGGUGAAAUGCGUAGAUAUCAGGAGGAACACCGGUGGUGUAGACGGCUUUCUGGACCGUAACUGACGCUGAGACACGAAAGCGUGGGUAGCAAACAGG